This is a long non-coding RNA of Salvia splendens (bonfire salvia), 337 nucleotides long. RefSeq lists it as uncharacterized. The transcript is spliced from 2 exons. The record is from RefSeq and is a predicted model, not a curated record. NCBI's taxonomy places the organism in Eukaryota, Viridiplantae, Streptophyta, Magnoliopsida, Lamiales, Lamiaceae.
UUGUUCACUCCAUAGCUUGAAGAAGUAGACAUGGUGUGAUAUUGUUUCGGUUCGCCACCAAAAUAAGCAGUUAUUUUUGGCGAUGAGCCGAACCAAUAUCACUCUUGUAUACUUUUCAUCACACAAAAAUGGGAAUAAAAUAAAAUCAUCUCCAAUAUACUUGCAAGAAUACUUCUGUGGUGGCCAACAGCAUUUUCUUUUAACCUAGCUACCUUCCAGGAAUUGAUGUUGAGACAUGAUACGUACAAAUGCAGUAAUUCUUUAUGAAUCCAAGCUCUGAAACGUGAUACCCAACUUUGAUCAAAUUUCAAUAUAUUUAUAAGCUAUUGUUCUCUUA